GCCGGCUGGGCCGGACGGAGUGGCUGGGCCCAGCACGUGACCGCCCAGCCCGGCUCCGCGGGGGGUGGGGGUGGGGCCGCCCUGGGCGCCGGAGCAUGAAAUCGACAUUUGCCUGGGGCAGGAAAGGGAGCCUGUCAGAUUCUGUCUCCAUUAGACCCUCCACCCACGGGAGCGGGGGACUGCGCUAGCGUUUUAUUUAUUUUUGUAUCUCCGGAACCAGAAAGCAAAAGUCGGUGAAAGGCCGGGAAAGCUGCGCACAUUCAGGCAGACGGCCCAGAAGCGAGGCCGGAGCGGGGCUUCCCGGCCACUUGCUCCUCACCUCCGGGGACUUCCAGGGUCUUCCUCGCCCCCCACCCCCUCCCCGCCUCGCCCCGAGGGCGUCACGUGGCGGCGUGGGGCCCGCCUCCGGUGACGUCACCGCGCUCGCAGCCGUCGCGCCGAAGAAAGGAUGCUCUAGGAUGCUGUGCAGGUGGGCGGCGGGGAUGCGCCAUGCGGCACUGCAGGUGUUUUAAGUAGAUUGGAAAAUAACAGAUGCAACCUCCGAAGAUUAACUGCGAGUAGUAAGGAGAAGCUAUAAAAACAAUGGGGAAUUCUCUUCCAACUUAGAACUUUAUAAGAUUGCCAUUCAGAAGACAUCAAGGAGAAAAGAGGAUGUGAGCCCUGUUUAAAGAAAAACGGGCAUGGAGAUGGGGUGAAGUCAGCAAAGAAAAAUGGGGAUGGGGUGAAGUCCGUGAGACUUACCUUUGAUUUUGCUAAAAUCAAAAUAAUGUUUCUGUGAAAUUCAUGCUAUGUCAGAAAAUGAGCUGGCAAGAUAUUGGGACGUAGUCCUGCAUAUACUUCAGCCUAGAGAUCCAAAUGUCAAAAUCCUAUCUUUGUCCAUAUCCACGCCUGUAUAUUUAUAUAUCCAUACAUUCAUGUUUCUAUCUCUACAGCUGUGUCUUUGCUUCUGUAGUCUUUUUAAAAAUUGUGCUUAUAGGGGCGCCUG
Molecule: non-coding RNA, 985 nt
Organism: Leptonychotes weddellii (Weddell seal)
Lineage: Eukaryota; Metazoa; Chordata; Mammalia; Carnivora; Phocidae
Source: RefSeq, a predicted model, not a curated record